Molecule: long non-coding RNA, 235 nt
Filed under: Elaeis guineensis (African oil palm)
Lineage: Eukaryota; Viridiplantae; Streptophyta; Magnoliopsida; Arecales; Arecaceae
Description: long non-coding RNA (EGUI_LNC019353)
Source: RNAcentral
GAGAAAAUUUGAGCGGCGAAGUUUCUUGCCAAGAGUUAUCAUAGAAUUUUCAGCUUGUUGUCACUACAAGUUCUCCAUAAAGAAGAAGGAAAAAGAAUCAAAUAGACUAAUUAAGGAAUCAACUGGAUCCUAAUUAUAUGAACCUAAUUUAAUAUUAAAUCUAAAUUUAUCUUUGUAACCAUUCAUGAUAACAACUUAUCAUGAAAAUUUUGUGAGAUGAACAAAGUUUACAGGA